Molecule: long non-coding RNA, 10749 nt
Organism: Canis lupus familiaris (dog)
Lineage: Eukaryota; Metazoa; Chordata; Mammalia; Carnivora; Canidae
Exons: 3
Source: RefSeq, a predicted model, not a curated record
UUGGAAGCCCCAGCCGCAGCCUCAGAGGUAGGUGACGGUGCAGGCAGCGGCUGCCCUUCCCUGGGUCCGUCCCGGCCUCCCCGGCACAUGGACGACGCCUGCGGGAGGCCAGCAUGCAGAUGACCGCCACCCGCUCGGGCCCGGGACGCAGGGAAGGGACAGCCGCUGGCUGCGCGGAGCCUGUGGGCCGCCAGGGGGGCUCAGGGCUCGCCCACAGCCUCCCUCCCCCCGCGGGAUGGCCUGCCUCCCCUCUGGGCAGAAGGGGCCGUGGGCGACAGGAGUGGUACCAGGAUCAGCUGGAUUUCGUCCUUGUCGCAUCUCACGUGGUACAGGACCAUGUCCUGGGCGAUGUCCUUGCGGUUCUCCAGCUUGUUCAUCUUGUCGUAGGUGUCGGUGUUCAGUACCGACCAGCCCAGGAACUGAGUGAGGGACUGCGGGCAGAGCGGCGGUGCCACCACCCGUGGGCGCGUCCUCGGGCCGCAGGCGGAAGGCGGCGAGGGCUCCCCCGCUGUGCCCGUGUCCCCCCCGGGGCCACCCCGAGUCGCGCUUUACCUCCAUGAGGACCUCAUCCUGCUCAUCGAAGGGCUUCCCGUCCUUCCUGUUGUAGAACGUGGCAACCCCCACGAUCUCCUCCUUCUUAUUGACGAUGGGCAUGGAGAGGACGUUCUUGAUGACCCAGCCCGAGUCGUCCAGGGGCCCUUCCUGCAGGGAGAGGCGUCAGGGUGCCCGCCACGCUGCUUGCGGCCCGGCCCGUCACCCAGCGGGCACGAGCCAUGUCCUCUGCCCCCAGGCGGCAGUGAGGGCUCAGGGUUCCUGUGGGCUCGGCACCCCACCUCCACCCCGUGCCCAGGAGCUCCGGGUCCGGGGGUUUGCGCAGGGACCUCUCCCACGGGCCCCAGCUGAGGCUACGUGCCCAGCAGGUGGCUCCAGGGCAUGGGUCCCGUGGUCACGCAGGCUCCCUGGCUCCGAAGGCUCCAGCCCGGUUGGCCCUCUGCCCCUAACACUCUCAGUCCUCGGGAGUGGGGCCUUGCUGUCCCUCUGCCGGCCCCACGAGUGGUGCAACUGUUCCCGACUCGCGGCCCCAGAGCCCUGGCCGGUCCCGGGAGAGGUCUUGGAGACCAAGGCCAGUGGCGUGGCCCCGCUGACUCGGGCCCUGCCCGGAGGAGCCGGCCCCACGGGAGGCCCCUUCCAGCCGGGCCGCGCACCCACUGCAGCCACCGCACCCACCCGCACCGCGGGGCAUGCGGGCCGCCUUGGCCCUGGAGGUUUGGAGGUGGUUUCUUGAGCAAACGCUGCUUCGGUGCAGCCUUGCGGAACCACAGCGUCUUCCUGCCGAGCAUGACACGUGUUCUGCAAGGAGGGGGGGACGUACCUGGAACGUGAACAUCUCGUCCGCGGCGGUGUUCAUGAUGUUACAGAUCUGGAAGAGGACGGGGACACUACUCGCCUGGCGUGCCCUCCGCAGUGGAGGUGGCGGGCGGGGCGGGAGGGGCCCCCAGACUCACAAAGCCGCUUUCUGCCACGUAGGUCGGAAGGCCGCUGGCCAAGGCCCAGUGGUCGGCGGGGGGCGAGCUGCGGGGAGAGCAGGGCGUCGGGCCGGGCUGCGGUUCAGGGCUCUGGGUGUCCGUGUAUUCCCUUUCCGGAGCUCCGGGGUGGUGGGAAGCUCAAGGGCCGUGCCCCGGGAGACUCGGAGGAGGCAGGGUGAGGUUUGGGGUGUCUGAGCCGCUCGUCCUGCCUCUGCUACACGGAGGCCCCUCAGCCUGUCGGAGCCCCCCUUCCACUGGAGGAGUGCCUGGAGCUCAGCGUUGGUCCCCUGGCCCGCCGGCCCGCCCCUCGGGAGCCCAGUCCCUUUGUGGGACCUGCAGGGUGGGGUCCUCGCAGGCUCGUGGGGUCUUGGGGCCACACGGCCAGCAGCUCUCCCCAGUCUCGCUGGUUUGCAGCCCGGCCCUGCCCCCCACCCAGCCACGUUCCUUCUGGGACGGGUUUCCCAUCCCCUCCCGCCCUACGGGCCGUGCCUUCUGUCCCCCCAAACCCCCCCACCCCGGCCUGUGUGGCUGGGUGAGCUAAGAAGCGACCCUGAGGGAUGUAAAGGUCAGUUGCUGCUGGCGGGGCCACCUGGAUGGCUCACCUGGGCCCCUGGAGGUCCACCCUGGCCGUCACGGUGUCUCCCGCCCUCCCUCCCCGUCCUGCGCACCCCACAGCCGAGGGAGCACCCCCGGGAGGCUGCUGAAUCCAUGUGGUGACUCCCCGAGGCCCACCCAGCAGGGGUCUGGGGUGCCCGCCCCCGCCGGCCCUUCUCGUAAAAUCCUGGCACUUACGGGAUGACCUUGAUGUCCUCCUUGCCAUGGAGGAUGUAGUCGAUGACCUUGUAGAAGACGAUUUCCUGUGAAAGGACCGCUGCGGUGGUGAGCGGCCCAGGGCCAGGCCACAGAGGGAAGCCCCCGGAGGGGAGGGGCCCCCCAGUGCCCGCCCAGACGUGCACACGCACCUCACCAACACAGCUAUGCACAACCUGCACGUGCACACGGGGAAGUGCACACAUGCGCCCACGCCGUUACAUACGACCACACACGCAGACCACCCCCCGACACUCGUGGGACACACGCACGUUCUCUGUCCCGCUCAAGCCCACACACAAGCUGGGUCCACUCCCCCUUCACAUGGACGCACACGGCCCACUGUACACACACAUGCACACACACACACAACCGUGGCAGGUCAUGGUCACAGCCACGCCACGUGCAGGGCCUCUUCUACACCCUUGGCACACGGCGCUGUGAGGAAGGCAUCUACCGCCCUCAUGGGGAAGGUGGGGACACUGAGGCAUGGCCGGGCGGGGUAGUGUGCCGCAGAUUGGACACACAGUAAGUGGCAGAUACCUCUGCCCAUGCUUCCAUGCCCUUUUCACCCCGCCUCUCUCAUGCACAGGCACACGCGCGUGCACAUACGUCUACACGGUUCCUCACGGAGCUGCUACAGGGACUCAGGGUAGGACACAGGACAGAUGCUGGUCGUCCCAGAGAGGCUGACAACCUUCCCCUGGAGAACAGCCCCCGCCUCCCGCCCCCGAGCAGCCAGCAGCGGCUGGAGCCAGGGGCAGCACAAGCGCUCAGAGCCUCCCUCCCAUGCCCACGCUGCUCAGGCUGCGCCUUGCCCCUCCUCCCCGACUCACACGGCCGUCGGGUGUGCGUGGGCCCGAGUACGGCUGCGCUUCUCCCAUCAGCACAGGCCACACGUCAAAGAAUUCCUGAGCAGAGACAGGAGGGACAGACGGUCAGUGAGGCAGCACUGCGGCGGCGCGGCGCCAGGAGGAGCACGGGCCUCACCUUCUCCUUGGUCAUGUCCAGGAGGCCCACGGAGUAGCGGUCACAGUUCAGGUAGGCCCGCACCGUGUAGAAGGCCUUGUGGAACUGCCUCUCGAUGUCCGUCAGCUCCUCAAACACUUUGUUGGCCGACCACAGCAGCACCUGCGGGGCACACCUGUGAGCCUGUGGCCACACCCCCUACGCACACCUGGGGAAGCACAGCAGCACUUGGGGGCACACCUGUGAGCCUGUGCCCCCCCCUCCACGCACACGUGGGGAGCACAGCAACACCUGGGGCACACCUGUGAGCCUGUCGCUCCCCUCCACGCACACCUGGGGAGCACAGCAGCACCUGGGGCACACCUGUGAGCCUGUUGCUCCCCUCCACGCACACCUGGGGGGCACAGCAGUACUUGGGGCACACCUGUGAGCCUGUGGUCCCCCUCCACACACACCUGGGGAGCACAGCAGCACCUGGAGGCACACCUGUGAGCCUGUGGCCACUUUCACCUCCACACACACCUGGGGAAGCACAGCAGCACCUGGAGGCACACCUGUGAGCGUGUGGCCACACCCCCCAAGCACACUUGGGGAGCACAGCAGCACCUGGGGGCACAGCAGCACCUGGGUGUGAACUGUCACUCCCCCCCAACACGUACACACGCGUGGGACCGCAGAGGUCCGGAGCCACCCUGGCGGGUGGGUGAGUGGGGGGGCGGCUGCAUGAAGGGUGAAGGCGGAACUCUGAGCAGCCCACCUCCCCCAUCAGCCUGAGAGGCCGUGUCUUGGGAAUGGGCAUUCAUCGCGUUCCACCAUAGAACGGCUCGAGGGUGGCGGUUCAAGGACCUGCUCCGUGAGCCUUGGCCUGCCCAGGUCGUCGGCCCGCGGGUCACUGGCCAGGCCCAGAGGAACCCCGUGAGGCCCGCCCUCCAGGCCGCCGCACUCGCCUCCCCGGCUACCUUCCGGCCGUAGGGCAUGUCGCCUGGUGCCAGGGCCUCCUUGCACGGCUGCCCCCAGCCCCUCGCAGACCCCCUGCUGUCCCAGGCAAGAAUGGGCCCUGGAGACCCCUGUACCCCGGAGCGCUCUCACCAGGAGGCAGCGCAGCUCCCACGCCCCCGCCCCCCCCCCCCCGCAAGGUUCCUGGAGACCUGAUCCACCCACUACCCCCCGUGGCUGGAGGAGGCUUUUCUGGUGGCCUGGCCCUGCCCCUCUCUGCCCAUCAGUGUCCAAGGCCCAUGGCCCUCCCAUGUGCCCUCGGCACGCACUCCGAGUGGCCACAGGGCCUUUGCACAAGCUCUGUCCUCUGCCUUUGCAGCACUUCUCCAAGGCGUCCUCACCUCGGAGUCUGAGCCUAAAGCCGUUUCGGGGGGGGCCGGUGCUCGGCAGCUGCCCCACACGCUGCUCCACUCUGAGUGGCCGGCGAGGGCUGCCCACCCCGCACAGGCUCGGGAGGCCGGGUGGUGCCGCGGUUCCGGAUCGCAGUGCUGGGCACCGAGACCUCGCACCUGCGUGCGCGCUGGCCCCACGGACGCCGUGCAGCUCGGCACUCUGGGGCGUGAGGUCCGGUCCCGGGCCGGCAGCUGCCUGAGCACGGAUACACGGGGCAGCGUGGACCCACAGCCGCUCAUGCACUGCUCAGGGCCCCCCUCCGUGCUGCUGGCCCGCACCCCAGUCCUGGGGGCUCUGGGACACAGGAUGCUUCGCCCUCCCCCGACGUGGCGAGGGGGCCACCCAUCUGCUUCUCCUCAGCUGACUGCCAGGCCUCGGUCUCCCCACCCAUAAAGUGGGGACAGUGACGUUCGCCCCUCAGGGUGCUGGGAAGAAGACUGGAGGACGAGUCAGGCUUCCCCGAGAGCCCCCCACGAGCAGUGCGAGCAUGUCUUGGGGGCCUUUCCAAGCGCCUUCAUCCCGGGCGUCUAACCCCCACGUGCCCCCUGGGCCCCUGCGGACGGCGCUCAGCCGAGUCUGGCACACGCAGUAAGCGUUGAGGUGGGACACCGCGGGAUGAACCUUCACAUCUGUGGAGUCAGGAUCUAGGACCAGCGCCCUCCCUGAGCCUGCCGCCGCUCGUCUGAGCUCCACCCCCUGGACUGUUCUGGAACUUGGUCUAGGUGUCUUCAUGUGCUGCCUGUGCUGUGUCACUGUGUGGUGGCUCUUCCUGACUCUCCUGGGGCCUGGGCCUCCUGGACGGCCUCUCAAGCACUGCCUCGACCCCAGCCUGGGGCCUUCUGAGCCUGCUCCUGCCCUUCCCGCCCCGGGACGCCAGGCCAAGGAGACCCCGGCAUCGGCUGACACCCUCCGUGUUGCCUGGUAGAGAGGAGCAGGCCAGGGCCCUCAGGGUCAGUGGACGGGGCUCAGGCUUACUUGCUUGCGUUUCUUAAGCAGCCUCCACGCCCAGCAGGGAGCUCAACGCAGAGCUUGAACUCAAGGUCUUGAGGUCAAGACUGGAGCCGAGAUCAAGAGUUAGACGCCUAACCGGCUGCGCCAAACCCAGCUUCUUAAGUGAAAUCUCAUCUUUAAAAUAUAGGAAACUUGUUGAUUCACAAUAGGGCCUCACCUGGCUCACCAAGGGCCUCUUGCCUUCUCCCGUCCCCUCCUUUAGGGUGCAAGUCACACCUCAUCUCCUGGACCUCGGCCCCUCCCUGGGGAGGGGUCACCCCUUCCUGACAUCAGCACCCAGCACACCAGCGCCACCACAUGUCACGUGAACCAAACACCAGGUGGCCGACGGGCCCGGAGCCAUGAUCCGCGGGGUGCUGCGGCCCUGCUCUUCAUGGACUUGUGCUCCGACAUGAACCUGGGGGCAGCGGUGACCUCAGAAACUAAGGGGCGGACAACAGAGGCCUGCAUGGCCUCCUGGAGGGGAGUGCUGCCUAGUGAGGCCUGACCCACACUCCCCCUUCAGGAGGCGUCAGGAUGCCUUCAUCGUUUCCUUGCUAUUUCACUAGAGUUCACCAUUAUCCAUGCUCCUGGGGUGAUUUGUCAUGGGAAGGUGGUCUGUACUACGGCACAUCCUCCCCAACUCUGUCCAGGGCCAUCACGCGGGGGCCGCCGCCAAGUCGGCUGGCACUGCUCAGCGGGGAGAGGCGUGCCAGCCCCUCCUGGCUGCUUCCUGACUUCUGAACGUUUCUCCUCGGGCACAGGACAAGAAUAUGGGGCCAGCAGCUGAGCCCUGGGCUGUCCACAUGGCCUCCUGAGAUUGUCCGGUCCUGGAAGGGCGGUGCCUGUCUUGUGGUCUUCAAGUGAGCCGCAGGCCGCGGGCAGCCUAGCAGGUGGAAGAGGACAGAGUCCUGUCCGGUGGGGCCCUUCAUCCAGCUUCUGGCGCCCUGUGGCCCGCUGGACAGUGGGAGUCACUCUGCUAAAACUGACCAGUCACUUGACUCAGUAGAUUUCUCAUGGAGAAAUUCCAGCAUCCGUGGCUGCACCUAAUGUUGACCUUGUUGCUUCUGUCACUUCUGACCAAAUGGCUUCGACGCUUCCGGAAAGGGACUGACAGGAGCCCCUGCGUGGAGUGUGCCAGAAGGGUGGUCAGGGCUGAGGGGCCAGGGCCCUGCUGAGUGGCUGUGAGGACCCUGGAGAGCUGCGAGGUCGGAGAGGAGGGGCCCUGUUCUCCAGCACGCGGAGGCCAGGGGGAGGCAGCCGCAGGCUUGACGGCAACUGCGCAGGGGCGGUCCCUGGUCACUACGGACCUUUCUCCCCGAAGGUGUGUGAGGGACAGCCCUGUGCUUCGGGCAACUUAUUUACGGUUAAAAUGUUGCUCAUGGUAUGAGGUGUCAGAAACAGCUUUCUGCCCAGACGGGGGGAUGUCUGAGCAGGAAGUCAAGGCACAUGGAGAGCCGCGGACGCCCACCUCGAAGUCCCCCUGGAGCCCUGGCCGGAAGCCCUCCGUGCAUGCAUGCGUGUGGUCCGAGGGGCCAGAAACCUCGCCUUCCAGGUAGCCCUUGGUUCCCAGGCGCUGGCAAUUCAUUUGCCGGAAUGAUACUCAUUACCUGGUUUAGAGCUGGGGUAACUGGACGACAGAACAGACAAAAAUCCGAGUCUUAGGAUUCCCUUCUGUGUGGGGGCGGCGGGCAGCUAGGACACGAUCAAAAUGAGCAGCCGUUCAGCUUGUUACAAGAUAUGAGUAGACCGAGGGAACAGGAGAGCAGCGCUGGAUGUGGAGCUGGGGCGGGGGGUGCCCUGCAGAGGAGCUGCACAGUGUGUGGAAGCUGUUCCUGGCAGAGGGACCCCAUGGGGACGAUGGCUGGGGUGGAGCGGGGGGUGGGGAAAGUCAGAGGAGAGGAGGGGACUGCAUGGGAGCCCCUGAGGCCACCCAGUGACGUGACCCAAGUUUUCCAAGCAUAGCUCUGACUCCUGAGUCAGGGUGCAGGAGCAGAAGGACCCUGAGAUGUGUCAGUGACAGUGGCAGACAGAGCCCUGAUUAUAUUUAUAAAGGGGAGUGGGGGUAGUUGGACACUGAAGUGGGGGCUCAGGACACAACAGACAGAUAAUUAAAAACCUGGCUUCCCCUGGAGGAAACUGCACCCCUCCCUCGACCUGGGCAACACCCAGUGGGGGAACGUGUGUGUGGUCAGGGCCAAGAAAACGCUCUCAGACUUACACCUACAAUGUAUGGGGUUGGAUUUGAAUCCUGGCCCGAGGCCACUGUUUGGAGAUGCUGCUGAUAAGAGUUGGGGAAAUGUCCUCAAAGCAAUUCUGGGGCCUGACUGAGAGGAAGCUGCAUUUAUCCACUUCUGGGAGAAGAGGGGGCCACAGGGCAAGGGCAGAAUGAGAGCAACUCAGCCCGUCAGCCCUAAGGGAGGGGGGCCAGACCUUGCCAGGGCAGAGGGAUACACAGAGACAGUGUUUGAAGAGAUAAGGGCUGGAAACCCUCUGAAUUUGAUGAAAUACAUGAAUGUGAACUAAAGUUCAACAAACUCCAAAUGAGAUGAACUAAAAACACCGACACCAAGACACAUUAUAAUCAACUAUCAAAAGCCAAGACAAAGAGAACCUUGAAAACAGUGAGGAAGGUGACUUGUCACACACAAGGCUCCUGAGGUUGUCUGCAGAUUUCUUACAAGAAAUUUUGGAGGUCAGAAUAGGUUGACAUAAUCAAAGUCAAAGAAAAAGCUAAAAUCAAAGGUAAAAGAAAAAAAAACCCUGUCGACCAAGAAUCUUAUAUCCGCCAAGCUGUCCUUCAAAACUGAGAGAGAAAUCAAGACAUUCCCAGGUAAACAGAAGCUGAGGGCAUUUGCCACCACUAGACCUUCCCUGCAAGAAAUGUUAAAGGGAGUCCUGCAGUGGAAAUGAAAGGACAUAAGAUGGACUCAAAGCUGUAUGAAGAAAUGAAGAUUUCAAUAAAGAAAUAAAAAAAAAAACAACAACAAUCCAUCCUUAAGUUCAUGUGGAAUCUCAAGGGUCCUAAAUAGCCAAUCUCGGAAAAGAAGAACAAGGAGGAGGACUUAUACUUCCUGAAUUCAAGACUUGCUACAAAAUUACCUUAAUCAAAACAUUAUAAUACUGACAUAAAGACAGACAUAGAGAUCCAUGGAAUGGAAUAGAAAGUUCAAAAAUAAACCCUCACAUAAAUGGUCAAAUGAUUUUCAACAAAGGUGUCAAGAUCAUUCACUGGGGGAAAAGAUAGUCUUUGAACAAAUGGUAUUGGGAAAACUGGAUAUUUCCAUGCAAAAUAAUUAAGGUGGAUCCUUACCUCACAUCUUUUGCAAAAAUUAACUAAAAAUGAAGGAUCUAAAUAUAAGGCCGAAAACUACAAAACUCUUAAAAGAAAAUGUAGGACAAAAGCUUCUUGGUACUGAGUUUGGGAUGAAGGCAUAGUCAACAAAAGAAAAAAAUUGGACUUUCUGAAAAUUAAAACUUCCGUGCAUCAAAGGUAAAAAGGGCAGCCCACAGAAUGAGAGAGAAUAUUUGUAAAUCAUAUAUCUUGUAAGGGGUGAAUAUGCAGAAAAUGUAAAGAAUCCCUAAAACUUAACAACAAAAACUGAGUUUUUGUUGCCCAAAUGGGUGAAGGACUUGAACAGACAUUCCAAAGAAGAUACACAGAUGGCCAAUACUCACAUGAAAGAAUGAUCAACAUUACUGAUCAUUAGGGCAAUGCACACUCGAACUGCAAUGAAGUACCACCUCACACCCAUUAGUGUGCUACCAUAGAAACACACAGGAAAUAACAAGUGCUGGAGAGGGUGUGGAGAAAUUGGAACCCUGUGCACUGUUGGUGAAAAUGGAAAAUGGUGCCACCACUGUGGAAAACAGUAUGAAAGUUUCUCAAAAAAUUAAAACUAGAAUGACCUAGCAAUUCCACACCUGGGUGUGUACAAAAGAGCUGAAAGCAGUGUCUCAAAGGGAUGUUUGUGCACUCCGAUUUAUAACGAUGCUAUUCACAGUAGUUAAAGUGUGGAAGGAAACCGACGUCCACUGAUGGACGUAACGAUAGCAAAAUGUAGUCUCUCCAGACAACGGAAUGUUAUUUAGUCUUAAAAAGAAAGAAAUUUGGAUACCUGCCACAAAAUGGACGAACCUCAAGGACUUUAUGUGAAAUGAAACAAGUUAGUCACAAAAAGACAGAUGCCGUAAGCUUCCACUUACACAGGGUACUUUGAGUAGCCAGAAGCACAGAGACAGAGGGUAGGGUGAUGGGUGCCAGGGCCUGGGGACAAGGGCACUGGGGCAUUAGUAUUUAAUGAGGAUAGAGUUUCAGUUUGGGAAUAUGCGGAGAGUUCGGGAGACGGAUGCUGGAGUUGGUUACACAAUAUGAAUGUACCUAAUACGACUGAACUGUAGACUUGGUUAAGACAGUAAAUUUUAUGUCUUUUACCACAAUAAAAAUAAUUAGAAAAAAAGUAAAGAGAUGGAGAAAUACUAUAGCAUGCUCGUGCCGAUCAGAAGAAAGCUGGAGUAGCUGCAUCUGUUGUAGACAAAGCAGACUUUAGAAGAAGGAAAACUGUCAGCGGUAAAAAGGGACAGUACAUAAUGACAGGGGGGGCAUUUCUCCAAGGAGAGAGCACCCUUGCUGCGUAUGCACCUAGCAAGCUGGUAGAAUUGGGGGAGCAGUAGAUAAACCCGCGAGCUGGCCAACUUCUGCGCGCUUCUGUCACUAAUUGAUAGACCUGGCGGGCAGAAAAUCAGUGAGAGGUGAGCUAAACAGCUCUGGAGAUAACGGACAUCAACAGACCCCGCAUCCAACAACAGCUGAAUACAUGUUCUUUCACGGUCACAUGGAGCACUCACCCAAAUAGACCAUAUUCUGGGCCAUAAAACACAUCUUAACAUAUGUAAAACAAUAAAAAUAAUAAGGAAUAUAUUUUCAUAAAACAGUAGAAUUAUACUAGAGAUCAGAAAUUAAACAGAAAGUAGCUGGAAAAUUCCAAAAUAUAUGAAACAGAACUCUUCUAAAUAAUACAUGGGUCAGGGCAGCCCCGGGGGGCUCAGCGGUUUAGAGCCACCU